GUACACUCCUGCGGGAGGCAGCAGUGGGGAAUAUUGGACAAUGGGCGCAAGCCUGAUCCAGCCAUGCCGCGUGAGUGAUGAAGGCCCUAGGGUUGUAAAGCUCUUUCACCGGUGAAGAUAAUGACGGUAACCGGAGAAGAAGCCCCGGCUAACUUCGUGCCAGCAGCCGCGGUAAUACGAAGGGGGCUAGCGUUGUUCGGAUUUACUGGGCGUAAAGCGCACGUAGGCGGACUAUUAAGUCAGGGGUGAAAUCCCGGGGCUCAACCCCGGAACUGCCUUUGAUACUGGUAGUCUUGAGUUCGAGAGAGGUGAGUGGAAUUCCGAGUGUAGAGGUGAAAUUCGUAGAUAUUCGGAGGAACACCAGUGGCGAAGGCGGCUCACUGGCUCGAUACUGACGCUGAGGUGCGAAAGCGUGGGGAGCAAACAGGAUUAGAUACCCCAGUAGUCCCAUGA
This 453-nucleotide ribosomal RNA is filed under the name uncultured organism. RNAcentral's name for it is "partial 16S ribosomal RNA". It matches the Rfam family "Bacterial small subunit ribosomal RNA", at positions 331 to 800 of the family's 1533-position model. The record is from RNAcentral.